Molecule: ribosomal RNA, 468 nt
Filed under: uncultured bacterium
Lineage: Bacteria
Description: partial 16S ribosomal RNA
Rfam family: Bacterial small subunit ribosomal RNA
Source: RNAcentral
GACGAACGCUGGCGGCGUGCUUAACACAUGCAAGUCGAACGGAAAGGCCCUGCUUUUGUGGGGUGCUCGAGUGGCGAACGGGUGAGUAACACGUGAGUAACCUGCCCUUGACUUUGGGAUAACUUCAGGAAACUGGGGCUAAUACCGGAUAGGAGCUCCUGCUGCAUGAUGGGGGUUGGAAAGUUUUGGCGGUUGGGGAUGGACUCGCGGCUUAUCAGCUUGUUGGUGGGGUAGUGGCUUACCAAGGCUUUGACGGGUAGCCGGCCUGAGAGGGUGACCGGCCAAAUUGGAACUGCGAUACGGCCCAGACUCCUACGGGGGGCAGCAGUGGGGAAUAUUGCACAAUGGGCUGAAGCCUGAUGCAGCAACGCCGCGUGCGGGAUGACGGCCUUCGGGUUGUAAACCGCUUUCGCCUGUGACGCAGCGUGAGUGACGGUAAUGGGUAAAGAAGCACCGGCUAACUACGUG